Molecule: ribosomal RNA, 253 nt
Filed under: uncultured bacterium
Lineage: Bacteria
Description: partial 16S ribosomal RNA
Rfam family: Bacterial small subunit ribosomal RNA
Source: RNAcentral
GACAGAGGGUGCAAACGUUGUUCGGAAUUACUGGGCGUAAAGCGCGCGUAGGCGGCCCCGUAAGUCCGCUGUGAAAGUCAAAGGCUCAACCUUUGAAAGCCGGUGGAUACUGUGGGGCUAGAGUCCGGAAGAGGCGAGUGGAAUUCCUGGUGUAGCGGUGGAAUGCGCAGAUAUCAGGAAGAACACCGGUGGCGAAGGCGGGACUCUGGGCCGAUACUGACGCUGAGGAGCGAAAGCGUGGGGAGCAAACAGG